This 31-nucleotide non-coding RNA is filed under the name Mus musculus (house mouse). Lineage: Eukaryota; Metazoa; Chordata; Mammalia; Rodentia; Muridae. The record is from RNAcentral.
UGGGAAAUAAGCUUUCUUAAGAGGCAGCCUU